Molecule: RNA transcript, 2992 nt
Organism: Mya arenaria
Lineage: Eukaryota; Metazoa; Mollusca; Bivalvia; Myida; Myidae
Gene name: lipid droplet localized protein-like
Exons: 10
Source: RefSeq, a predicted model, not a curated record
UAUGUGUUGCAUAUAGCCUGAAGCUGAACUAUAGGAGUUUUGAAGUCUGUUUCUGAAAAAAUGUUGCUUAAAUAGGCUCAAGACCACAGUUAUCUGCCCCCCGUUGACCAAGAUCCGGAUGUGAAUACAGAAACAAAGAGUGCUUGUGUUCAAGUAUCAAUAUUUUAUUAAAAUUGAAUGAAAAAGAAGCAAAAAAUGUUCUUUUUGCAGAGAACUUGACUGAAUUUGACACUCUAUUGCAGAAAUUGAUAGUUUUCAAUGUAAAUAUUGGAAAAAUCAUAGCUUGUGGCAAGUCUGAAAAUUAGUUGUUUGUAGCCGAUUGACUCCCUGGCGGAAGGGUUAUGUAUUUGAACUCAAUUUUGACAGUCGGGUCAAUGGUCAACAUGGUGUUUUCUUGUGAUUAUAUUUUGUGUCUUGAAUUGUUCUAGAGAUGCCAUGUCCUUGUUUUUCAAUUGGGGUGUGUAUAAAGUCAAAAGCCAGGUUAGUGUCUAUAUGAAACAUAUAGUAAAAAUAACUGUGGUCUCACGCCAUGUCUGACGAGAGAUAUGACUUUGUGGUUUUGGGUGCCACCGGGUUUACGGGGCAGUUUGUUGUCGACGAAGUAGCAAGAGUUGCAGACCAAGAAAAACUCAAGUUUGCAGUUGCAGGAAGGUCCAUGGAAAAGCUGCAGAAAGUCUUGACGGAAUCGUCACAAAGGACAGGCAAAGAAUUAGAGGAAACCCCCAUCAUAAUUGCUGAUGUGAAGAAUGCUUCUUCCUUGGAAGAUAUGUGCAAAAAAGCAAAAGUGGUUCUCAACUGUGUAGGCCCUUAUUGUUUCUGUGGUGAAGACGUAGUUAAAGCCUGCAUAGAAAAUGGUGCCCAUCAUGUUGAUAUCAGUGGGGAACCACAGUACCUUGAGAAGAUGCAGCUACUGUACAGUGGAAAAGCCCGGGAGGCAGGUGUUUACAUCGUAGGGGCAUGUGGGUUUGACAGCGUGCCCGCAGAUAUGGGUGUAGCCUUUGCAACUGAACAGUUUAAAGGAGAUCUGAAUUCUGUUGAACUGUUCAUUUCUUUGGAAGCUGGGCCAGAUGGUCUGGCCGGCAAUGUGACAACCCUGGAAAGUGCCCUGCAUGGUUUUGCCCACGCGGCCGAGCUGAAACCACUGCGCAAAUCUCUCUACCCAAACCGUCUGCCAAGGAGCAAAUACCCGCUAAAAACUAGUUUGAAGUGGCAGCUUAUGCCUGUGUUCCGAAUUUCUUCUAUCUGGCGGUCACCCUGCUGUUUGGACUCAUCGUUGGCAUCUUGGCAAAGUUCAGCUUUGGACGAGCUCUCAUUCUGAAAUAUCCACACAUAUUUACCUUUGGUGUGUUUAAACAAGGAGGACCUUCAAAGAAACAGAUGGAGACAGGAACAUUUAGCAUCACAGUGGUCGGCAAGGGUUGGAAGGAGAAGCUUCCUGAUGCAGACACAGAGCAUGACACAGCCCCCGACACCCAGAUGAUUGUGCGGGUGUCGGGCCCGGAAGCGGGAUAUGUUGCCACGCCAAUUGUCAUGGUUCAGUGCGCCUGUACUCUGCUGAAGGAAAUCUCCCAAGACAAAUUUAGGGGUGGUGUGUACACAACAGCCAUGCUUUUCCGAGAAACAAACCUGAUUGAACGACUCAUCAAAAACAACAUCAAGUUUGAAGUCGUGAUAGAACAAUUCCCUCUGUGAACAAUAGAUGGGCUCAAAUUCCUGUCCAUAUGUGAACAAUAGCUGGGACCUCACUAUCAAAACUAACUUUAUCUUUGCACUCUAAUGUCAUUUGCCAUAACAUUAUGUCAUGUGAGACUUUUGUUUGUAAUCGUCUAUUUAUACAAAUUAUGACAUGCCUUUGUAAACAAAACAAUAAAGAGUAUGUUUAUAUUACUUAAGUAAAAUAAUUAAGGCUCUUCAGAUUCAUAAGUCAUAAUUUUAUAGCUUUUUCAACCUAUGCUUUGAUGUACAACAUAAGGUACCUGUACGCUAAAUUAUACACAUUAUACAAUUACUAAUAUAUGUAAUAUUAACUACAUGUAUAUUCUAGUAAUUAUUGCAAUCAAAAGUCACACCGUAAUUCAAAAGCUUUCUGAUCAUUUACCUUGAGUUAUAAUAUUAGCUACCUGUGUAUUCAAACAAUAUGGGCAAUCAAAAGUUGUAAUUUAAAAGCUUUCUUAAUCUAUAUAGUUUGAGAUACACUAUUUGCUUCAUGUAUAUUUUUGAUAAACCCAAAGAUAAUUGCUAGUAUCUACAUAAAUCAAGUCACAUGAUAAUUAUGAUGUAAGUGGUAAACACCGAGUCCCAGUUGUCUGUGGCUAAAUAUAGAAUGCAGGCACAGAUACAUGUGUGACAAGUACUUAAGUGCUAGAUAUUAGAUGUACAUUUUAGUAGGGGUUUCAAUAAUUUGUAUCUUAUUAGGUCUAUUGAAGAUUGGAUGCACACUUGUGAAUAAACAUGUUAAUAUUAUUCGUUUGUUUUUAUGAAUAACUUGAACAACUUAAAUUAAAUAACCUGCCCAAAACUGAUUAUAGUAGUUCAGAAUAGCAGAAGACCUGAUAAAUAUCAACCACUUGACCUACUGAAUUUUUUUUUCGGUAUUAUAAUUGCGAAAUGUACACAAAAACAUGCAUAGUAUCAAAAUAUUACAUUAUUUUCCUUGUAUAAUGUUCGAACAUUAUUUGUUGCAAUUCUUUGCAUUGCACAUUGCUUCCUUAUUUGUUCAUGUAUUUGUUUUGUUUUUACUGUAUAUGACUUUCUAUAUAACGAUUGCUCUUACUUUUACAUUUAUUAGCUAAACGUACUAUCUUUGACUUGCAGCUGUUAAUAAAGUAUCGCUAUAAAGAAUGCAAUUGGAAUAGUUUUUAUUGUUUUGAGUUUGUGAAAACAAUUUAUUCUAAUAGUCUUGGGAUAGAGUCUGAGUUGAUCAUGACUUGAAAAAUGUUGAAGCUAGUUGAACAUUGUGUUAUUAACUUUAACUUGGAAUCCACAUGCAAUU